UACCCUGAUCAAAGUUUUGCUGAAUUAAAACAUAAUGUAGUGCUAACUUCUGAAACUAGGAAUGGUCAAUCCUAUCUUGACUCAUACACCGAAUUAACAAGUACUUGACUAUGUCCAAAAAUCUUUGAUCACUGAAUUAAAAAUUCAGAUAGUCUAACAUCAAAGCACAGUGAGUUGCUUACAAGUCACCAUGGUGAUC
This 199-nucleotide long non-coding RNA is filed under the name Elaeis guineensis (African oil palm). RNAcentral's name for it is "long non-coding RNA (EGUI_LNC044636)". The record is from RNAcentral. Lineage: Eukaryota; Viridiplantae; Streptophyta; Magnoliopsida; Arecales; Arecaceae.